UUUACCUGUUUGUCUCUUUCAUAUUUUUUUGCUGAAGUCUAGUUCCAGAAGAGCAGUUAGGACUGAAAUCUCUCUAUUUAGCAGUACUUUACUGAAACAGUUCAGCAACACUCAGGAUCCACAUUUAUGGAUUUGUUCAGUAGGAAAUAUGCUCGUCUACUGAUUAUUGGAAUCGGGCUAAUGGCUCUCGUGCAGUUAGGAGGGAACAAUGCAAUAACUUCUUUUGCCAGUUCAAUUUCUAAAGCAGCUGGUUGUUCGGCAGACUCAGCAUCUCAAGUCAUGGCUGUUCUCCAGCUUCCAUUUGCAGUCGCGAGUAUUAUCCUUACAGAAAAAGAUGGAUGACGACUUCUUAUGCUGGCACCAUGUACAUCCAAGAUUGUUAGAAGAACAUUCCUACUUUGCAACAGUAAUGCAGUUUCCUCAGGGACUGCUGUUCUGCCAGCAUCCUCCUAUGUCAGACCAAGCAGCAAACCUAGUUCUAUUCAACGAAGUGAUGCAAUUGUGCCUAAGAUCACUGUCAUUCCUCUUC
Solanum stenotomum is the source of this 529-nucleotide long non-coding RNA. RefSeq lists it as uncharacterized. The transcript is spliced from 5 exons. Lineage: Eukaryota; Viridiplantae; Streptophyta; Magnoliopsida; Solanales; Solanaceae. The record is from RefSeq and is a predicted model, not a curated record.